Molecule: long non-coding RNA, 7669 nt
Organism: Bactrocera oleae (olive fruit fly)
Lineage: Eukaryota; Metazoa; Arthropoda; Insecta; Diptera; Tephritidae
Source: RefSeq, a predicted model, not a curated record
UAUAACAUUAUUCUUCGUUGUCGAAUUGUCAAAUGUCGUCGUACUUUGCAUUCGGUUCGAAACUGUGCUACGUAUGUGAAUUUCGGUUUUGAACGAGUAUAAUCGUAUGUGUAGAAAAUAGUACACUAAGCAAAGACCGCAAUAAAGAGGUGUUAAGAAGAGUACACAAAGCGUGCGAAUCGGAUUUUGAACUGUGUGAAACUCGGCGAAUAGACGUUACUCUAUAAUGGCGCCGAAAUCCAGAAAGAAGAAGGCACAUGAUGUAUCUGACCUUGAUCUUGAUGAAGUAUCAGCUCUAAAAAUGGAAAAUGAACUACUAAGACAGUUAAAUUUAGAGCUACAGGAACGAAAUAAAUUACUGAACAACCUGGUGGAAAAAGGGAAUUUAUUAAGUGAUGUAAGAAUUUCAUAUGCUGACAUUGCUAAAGGACAUACUAAUAUUAAUGAAAGAGUACCUAAAAUAUUAGUUAAAGCUAAAAAUAAUGAUAAUGGUGAAACUCUGAAAAAAGUAAAAAUGAAAUUAACAAGUGAUCUAACAAUACCAAUCAACAACGUUCGUAAAAAUAAUGAUGGGCUUGUUUCUGUUAAAUGUAAAAACACAAAUGAUAUACAAAGAGUUAAAUCGGUCUUAAGGGAAAAACUGGGUGGUGAUUAUUGUGUUGACUUGGAGCAUCUUAAUUUUCCUAAAAUAAAGGUUACUAAUGUGGAAAAUUAAUUAAACAAAGAAGAAUUAUGCGAGGAUAUAUGUAAUAGGAAUUUCCCAGAUAUUGAUGGCGCUUUCAACAUCAUCGCGGACUACAGGAACAAAGCUGGAAUCCGGUCAUUGAUACUCGAGCUAACCUCUGAGUCAUACCUACAUCUAAAAAAUUGCGGAUUUAAAUUAUACAUUGGUUAUCAAUGCUGCCAAGUAUAUGAUUUUUUUAAUUUUAAUUUAUGCUAUAAAUGCGGAAGAUCAAACCACAAACAAAAAAAUUGUAAGAAUGAGGUUAAAUGUCUUAGGUGUGCGGGUGAUCAUUUAACUAACACCUGUAAAAGUACUAACAUAAACUGUCUCAACUGCGUGUACUAUAAUGAAAAAUAUCGGAAAAACCGCCCAACUAAUCAUUGUGCUAUGGAUACACGUUGUAAAUAUAUCUCUAAUAGUCUAAAUAAAAUAAUAAACAAUACUGAUUAUCCGGUGAAACCAUCGAUACCAAAGUCACUAUGUAAAAUUGGAAAUUGGUCUUUACAAACAACCGAUGAUUGAUAAAGAAGAAAUGCAGAUUGAAGAAAUUUUUACUGAUUUAUAUAAUUUAAAUAAUACGUUACCUAAUAACAAUUUCUUUAUGGUUCACCUAAAUGUUAGAAGUCUAAAUACAAAUUUCAACAAAUUAGAGUUAUUUAUUGAACAUCUUGUAAUAAAACCAGAUAUUAUUGUCUGUACGGAGACUUGGCUCCUUUCUUGUUAUACUUUUUUGAAAUGAAUGAUUAUAAUAUUUUCUAUAAUAGUAGCAAUAAUAAUAGAGCUGAUGGCGUUGUAUUAUAUAUUAAAAAAAAUUUUAAAACAUGAUGUUGAGAUAGAUGUAAUUGAUAACGUGAAAAUUAUCUCAACGAUAAUAAAAUUGAAGGGUAAUAAAAAUCUUAAAAUAUCGGGUAUAUAUAGAUGUCAAGACAUUCCUAAAGAAAACUUUAUAGAUGCAAUAACUAAAUUUUUAGACAUAAACAAGCAUGGGAACAAUCAUUUUCUAGUUGGGGAUUUUAACAUCAAUUUAUUAAAUUCUGAUAUUGCUACAAAUGAAUAUUUAAAUAAUCUAUUAGAUCGUGGCUAUAUACCAUAUUUCAAUGGUGUAACCAGACCUAAUGACUUAGGGGGUACUUGUAUCGAUAACAUUUUUGUUAUAUCAAAUAUUGAGAAAUCAGAUCCUUUACUUAUGCCAAUGUUUUUACAGAUCAUUAUCCUAUUUUUGUUGCUCUUGAUUUGUUCCCUAUAAAGUCUAUGCUUAAAGAAACCUAUUUCAUAAACCACAAUCUUAUAAAAGUAAAUAGUAGUUUACAUGAUUGGUCUCAUAUGCUCGAUAUAAAAGAUCCAGAAGAUUUUUUAAAACUUCUGAUUGAAAAUAUAAAGAAUAUUAUUGAUGUUUUAAGAUCCAAAGUAAAUAAAACUAAAAACAAUAACAAACCGAGGAGUAAAUGGAUAACUAAAGGUAUUAUAAAAUCAUGUAAAACAAAAGAAACUUUAUACAGACUAUGGAACUAUGGAUAGAAAUAAUGUAAAAUUAAAAUCUGAAUAUAACGCAUACUGUAAAAUACUAAAGAGAGUUAUAACACUUGCCAAAAAUAACUACGAAAGUAAAUAUGUUAAAAAAAUAUCCAAGGAUAGUAAAAAAAUGUGGCAAUACGUUAACACGAAAAUAGGUAAAAAAAACUAAAGCAACGCCUGUACUGGAUUAUCUAGUAUGUAAUGAUGAAAUCAUAUCCGAUAACCAGGUUAUUGCUGAUGAGUUUAUAACUUUCUUUAGUAAUAUUGGAGUUGAAUUAGCUAAUAAAAUUGAUAAACUAUCGAUUGACACAAAUAAAAAUGUUAAGCAUAACCCCAAUAGUAUGUUUCUUACUCCAACUAGUUAUACUGAAAUUGAAAAAAUCAUAAAAGAAAUGAAAGAUAAAUCGGGUGGUGUAGACGGCAUUAGCAGUAAGAUUUUAAAAAUUAUAGCCAAAGAUAUUAGUAUACCUUUAGAGCAUAUUUUCAAUAUAUGUAUAAAUAAAGCUAUUUGGCUCUCUGUAUUUAAAAAAGCUGAUAUUAUACCUAUACAUAAAUCCGGGGACAAACACUUAGCAAACAACUAUCAGCCUAUUUCUCUAAUAUCAAACCUUGCUAAAAUAUUCGAGAAAAUAAUAUAUAUCCGAUUUUAUGAUUUCUGUAGGAAAAAUAGUUUAAUUUCUCCGAACCAAUUUGGAUUUAUAAAAAGUAGAGGUACCAGUGAUGCUUUAACUCUUACAUCAGAUUUUAUUUAUAAAAAUAUUGAUAAAAAUGUACCAUCUGUCCUAGUCUUUCUAGACCUAGCUAAAGCGUUCGAUACUGUAAAUCACGAAAUACUACUAGAUAAGAUCUGGAGGCUUGGGAUUAGAGGAAUACCUCACCAAUUACUUAAAAACUACCUUUACGAAAGGGAACAAUGUGUAAAAAUUAAUAAUUGUAUUAGUACAAAAACUAAUGUAAAAGUUGGUUUGCCACAAGGCACAAUAUUGGGUCCUUUGCUGUUUAUCAUGUAUAUAAAUGACAUCUUCAAUACUCUACCGGAAAUGGCUCUCGUAGCCUAUGCUGAUGAUACUGCAGUGCUUUGCUCUGGUAAAAAUUGGAAUGAAGUUAAAACACGACUGAAUAGAUGGUUGGAGAUAAUAAAUAAAUGGCUACGAAGUAAUCAAUUAUCUCUUAACAUAGACAAGUCAACACAAAUCACUUUUGGCAGUUAUUGUGAUAGUAUACCUGUCAAUUAUAUACUAAAUAUAAACAACAGAGAACUCACAAGAGUAGAUCACAGCAAAUAUCUGGGUCUGUACUUUGAUACACAUAUGAAAUGGAAUUUUCAUGUGAACGAGCAGGCCAAAAAAGUCAGAUACUUUGCUUUCCUCUUUUUCAAAUUGAGUAAAUGGGUUGACAUAAAAAUCUUAAAAACUAUAUACUAUGGACUUUUCGAAAGUGUAAUCAAUUACGGAAUAAUUGCCUGGGGUGGAGCCUACAAAAAUGCUCUGCAGCCUAUAACAAAUAUGCAAAACCGUUUAUUAAAGUUCUUUGAAAACAAUUAUGAAACUAAUUUGCCACUUGACAUCAAGAAAACUUUUAUUGUUAAGGCUAUUAUAUUACAAUACUAUGAAAAGUGUAAAUCAAAAUAUCUUACUAAACAAGUACUAAACAGGUACAAACUAGAGCUAACACUCUAACAUUACCAAAAAUUAAAAAGUCAAUUAGCAUUAAAAAUGCAUAUUAUAUAGCAAUUAAGUUCUUUAACAUGCUUCCUAAUAAAUUGAAGAUUCUAACAUGUAAUAAAAAAUCUCUUAACAAAAAUCUAAAAUCCUGGAUAAAUAACUUAUCAAUAUAGUAAAUUUUAGCUAUAUAUUAAGUGAUUAAUUUUUGCUCUUACUUGGUAUAAUUUAUAAUUUAUAUGUAUAACUUUGUCACGCAAUAUUUAGUAUAAUAUACUAUUAUCCAUGCUAGAAUAUUUAUAAUAUUAGGAAAUAAGUUGUUAAAUAUAUUGUAUUUGUAAUGCCCUGGUUCUAUGCACAGAUGUUAAACAUCUCUAUAGACUUGUACCAGAUGAAAUAAAUAAAUAAAUGCUGAUGGGAACAUGCCUGAUUCCAAUGACACACUAAAUAGGUGGCUCUGCGAGUCCAGCUGCGCAGUUUCUCAAGAACUGAUUAGGCAGUUUAUCAGGACCAGCGCCUUUUUUGGAAUCAAGUUUCCUCAAUUGUUUGUACACGUCAUUGUAUGAUACAGUUAAUUUAGAAAGAUUUACGUCAUGUCUUGAGGUACGACUAGGACUUGUUGAAGUCUGGUUGUUGUUGAUGUCGUGAAGAUAAGUGCUUUUGAAGAAGGAGGCAAUCAAAUCGCUGACUUUCUGUCCGUUGUCAGCAGUAACGUCGUUCCAGUGAACUGUAGAUGGGAUGUCAGUGUCACUUAUUCUUCUGUUCUUGACGAAGCUCCAAAAACUGCUGGCAAUUUUUUUUAUCAUAUGUUCAGUUUUAGUUAAGUAGACUUUGUAACACUUUUCAUUAAUGUUUUUACACUCACGCCGAAGUCUGCGAAAAACGUUGUAGUUAUAACGAGAUUUAGUUUUUUUAUAUCUAGUGUGUGCUGCUUUUUUUUUUUGAUUUUAUAAAUCAAUUCAUUUGAAAACCACGUGGGAUAAUUAUUAGACUUUUUGUAGCGGGUAGGGACGUAUCGAUCACUUCAUUUAAUUUUUCAUAAAACCAGGUAAUUUUAACAUCCAAGGCUGUAAUUUGAUACAAUUCUAUCCAGUUGCUGGACAUAAAAAAUUCAUUCAACCCAAUGUAGUCUGCUUCGUUGAAUAUCAGUCUGAGAGAAGUAUUUUUCUUGAGAUUAGCUUGGAUAUCAGCAUGUAUUUCCAAUGCUGGAUGAUGAUAGUCUUCAUUGAUGAGUGGGUCUGCUCUGCUGACUAUAACAUUAGUAUCGCUAAAACAAAGAUCAAGAAUUUUUUUAUUGCUGUUGUAGUUUGAAUUAAAUUGUUGACAAUUAACCAGAGACAUUUCGUUAUACAAUACAUUUUCGCAGAGUGCUUGAGGAUAACUGCUGGGCAAAUUAAAAUCACCAACCGAGAGUAAUUUACAAUUAGGAUACUUAUAUUUUAAGAACGAUAUUUGUAUGGCUGAUAUAGGAAUCAAGUGGCGAUAGGGGCGGUAGAUAGGUGCACCCGACUAUGGGGUCGCUGUUAGUACAUUUUACUUUAAUGAAUAACUGCUCAAUUGCAUCUUCGCUAUGUUCGAUUAGUUCAGCUGCGAGGUAUUUUUUUACUGCAAUUAACACACCACCACUGCGCUCACUACUUAGUUUAUUUCUAUCCUUCCGGAAAAGCGUGAAGGUAUUGUCUGUAACCUCCCCAGAGGAGAUGGAGUCAUUUAACCAAGUUUCACUUAUGCAAAUUAUAUCACUACUGCAGCAGGCUGAUGAGGUUAAGAAGUGUUUAAGUUUAGUUCUUAAACCUCUAGUGUUUUGGUAAUAAAUAUUUAACUUAGUUUUCUUUGUUUUUAUUUUUCUCUUUUGAUGAACGAAAAUUUGGUUUAUUGACGAUCAUAGGUAUGCCAUUUAUAUAUUUUAUGGUUUUAUUAGUAAUACCACUUUGGGUGAUUUGAUCUAGUUCUGCACGGACAGUGUUUAAGUGGAGUUGCUGAGCCUGAGUUAAACUAGGCUUAAAUUUGAUAUCAGAGUUAUCAGCUGGUUUCGACUUUAGGAUAGUUCUUGCAGCUGUGACAGUAGGUGCGUGGAGUAGGACUGGACGAGUUUUACCUUGGGUAGGUUUACCAAGACGUCGUAAAUUGAUGCUGGGGAUGAUAUCUGACAAUUCUUGAUGUAUUAUCGCCGCAAUUUUAUCAAUAUCGUCUUGGCGACGGUCGGCGCCAACUGGUUUUACAGAUUCCGGGACGUUGAGUAUCACUACCUGGGAUUCACGCUUUUUACGCUCAUUAAUUUCAGCGAUAACACUAUUAGGAUCAUCAGGGAAGUUCCUAAGAGAUGCAAGUUUGUUUUCAACAUCUGUCAAUCUCUUAUCAAGUUUCUUUUGCUGCUGGGCAAAGCUUUUGUUUUGCUCGGAGUAUAUAUUUAAAUCAGUACGGAUACCUGUUAUACUCUGUUCAAUAUUCCUCAUUUGUUUUGUAAGAGAAGAUAAGUAUUUGGCAAGAAUUUUCUCGAGAUAAUUUUUGUUGAUGGACAUUGCGUGGGAAUUAUUGUCCCCAUCAAACGCAGCGUCACCUUCUAUAAUGCUAGCCUCAAAAACACAGUCAGCACAUUUCCAGCUAGUUGAACCUUUUCUCCGGAACUCAGCUAGCUAAACAUUAUACUCCGAGUCACUUAACUUACUACACAUUUUGUGAAACCAAUUUUUACACUCACAGCAACCGCUACAACUAGAAUUCGCUAUAAUUGGUUUAGCACAACUUUCACACAUGUGUUUACUUUCCGCCAUCUUUAUAUCAUUAUAUAUAUAUAAUUGUUAAAAAUAUUAUUUAAGACUUUUGAAUACAUUUUAACGAACCGUCAAUCAGCCGUGAUGUGGUGAGAACGAAUGUUUUUACAGUGUCGGAAAUAAAAGAAAUGUGGAAUAUUGGUAAAAUACUAAAAAAUUUCGACCCUCGCGAAUUUCAUUUGCGGAAGAGGAAGGUUUAAUUUUAAAACGAAAACUAUACCGUAUCCAUACCGUAUGACGCUGUCGAUAUGCGAGAAUAGCACGGUUGGAGUUUUCCGAUGACGGAAAGGUGCCUUUCGUAUACGAACUGCGGUGUCGAGGUCGAACGGUAGAUGGUUUGAGAACAUCAAAAUACCACUGCCUUAAGUGUUCUAUUUAAUAUAUGUGUAUGCAUUACAUUAGUCGCAUGCGGAGCUCUGAAAAAACAGGUUUAUCAGGGAGCCGAUUUUAUUCAGCGCUACCAUAUGUGACUGGUAUAAUUACUGCCGCGAAGACGGCAUCAUCAGGUAACGGUAGGUAAAAUUGGCGGCCCUGAUAAAAUUGUUCAAAUAGACAAAAGUCAAUUGGGGAAACGUGAAUACAACAAAGACGGAGAGCGGAAGGCCACUGGAAGUGUGUUCCGAAAACGUGGGGUCUACAGAAGUGAUACUACCCUUGAUAAAGAGACACGUGGCACAAGGUACCAUAAUAUGUACUGAUUGCUGGAAGGCGUAUGACUUCCUGACCAAUCACAGGUAUGAGCAUGGAUGCGUAAAUCAUAACGAACCAGAUCAUCCGUUUGUUGCAGAAUAUGGAGCCCAUACUCAACGAAUAGAGUCCCAGUGGCGCGUUAUUAAACGUUUUAUUAUUUAAGAUAAUUAUACCAAUAGUAAAGAUUUUUCUAAUUUAAUUGAUAAAUACAUAUAGAGAAAAAAUACUGCAAAUCAGCAGCUAGAUCUAUUUGAAAAAUGCAAUAAAUAUUGUUAGAUGCAAUAAAACAUACUUACUUAAUAAAA